RNAcentral lists this ribozyme (115 nucleotides) under Aedes aegypti (yellow fever mosquito). Its description in RNAcentral is "drz-agam-1 ribozyme". It matches the Rfam family "drz-agam-1 ribozyme". The record is from Rfam by way of RNAcentral. Lineage: Eukaryota; Metazoa; Arthropoda; Insecta; Diptera; Culicidae.
UGUCCAGUAACUCCUAUCCCUACUUCCCCGAGGUGCAGUCUGGCGUACGAGGAACCUUAGGAAAGAUCGGGUGAUCAACCCCGGUGGGACCUUGAUCGUAUGCGGACAGGGAAGG